UUUAAGGCUGAGACACGACGUCGAGCUACUACGGUAGUGAAGUCAUUGAUGCCAUGCUUCCAGGAAAAGCCUCUAAGCUUCAGAUUGUAAGGAAUCGUACCCCAAACCGACACAGGUGGUCGGGUAGAGAAUACCAAGGCGCUUGAGAGAACUCGGGUGAAGGAACUAGGCAAAAUGGUACCGUAACUUCGGGAGAAGGUACGCUCCUCGCGGUGAAGUCCCUUGCGGAUGGAGCUAUGGGGAGUCGCAGAUACCAGGUGGCUGCAACUGUUUAUUAAAAACACAGCACUGUGCAAAAUCGUAAGAUGACGUAUACGGUGUGACGCCUGCCCGGUGCCGGAAGGUUAAUUGAUGGGGUUAGACUUCGGUCGAAGCUCUUGAUCGAAGCCCCGGUAAACGGCGGCCGUAACUAUAACGGUCCUAAGGUAGCGAAAUUCCUUGUCGGGUAAGUUCCGACCUGCACGAAUGGCGUAAUGAUGGCCACGCUGUCUCCACCCGAGACUCAGUGAAAUUGAAAUCGCUGUGAAGAUGCAGUGUACCCGCGGCUAGACGGAAAGACCCCGUGAACCUUUACUACAGCUUGGCACUGAACAUUGACCCUACAUGUGUAGGAUAGGUGGGAGCUUUGAAACGAGUACGCCAGUAUUCGUGGAGCCGUCCUUGAAAUACCACCCUUGUAGUGUUGAUGUUCUAACUUAGUCCCCUAAUCGGGGAUGAGGACAGUGCCUGGUGGGUAGUUUGACUGGGGCGGUCUCCUCCCAAAGAGUAACGGAGGAGCACGAAGGUGGGCUAAUCACGGUUGGACAUCGUGAGGUUAGUGCAAUGGCAUAAGCCCGCUUGACUGCGAGAAUGACAAUUCGAGCAGGUGCGAAAGCAGGUCAUAGUGAUCCGGUGGUUCUGAAUGGAAGGGCCAUCGCUCAACGGAUAAAAGGUACUCCGGGGAUAACAGGCUGAUACCGCCCAAGAGUUCAUAUCGACGGCGGUGUUUGGCACCUCGAUGUCGGCUCAUCACAUCCUGGGGCUGAAGUCGGUCCCAAGGGUAUGGCUGUUCGCCAUUUAAAGUGGUACGCGAGCUGGGUUUAGAACGUCGUGAGACAGUUCGGUCCCUAUCUGCCGUGGGCGUUGGAAGAUUGAAGGGGGCUGCUCCUAGUACGAGAGGACCGGAGUGGACGAACCUCUGGUGUUCGGGUUGUGAUGCCAAUCGCAUUGCCCGGUAGCUAAGUUCGGAAUCGAUAACCGCUGAAAGCAUCUAAGCGGGAAGCGAGCCCUGAGAUGAGUCUUCCCUGGCGCUUUAAGUGUCCUAAAGGGUUGUUCGAGACUAGAACGUUGAUAGGCAGGGUGUGUAAGCGUUGUGAGGCGUUGAGCUAACCUGUACUAAUUGCCCGUGAGGCUUAACCAU
RNAcentral lists this ribosomal RNA (1399 nucleotides) under Vibrio variabilis. Its description in RNAcentral is "bacterial LSU rRNA". It matches the Rfam family "Bacterial large subunit ribosomal RNA", at positions 1549 to 2925 of the family's 2925-position model. Lineage: Bacteria; Pseudomonadati; Pseudomonadota; Gammaproteobacteria; Vibrionales; Vibrionaceae. The record is from RNAcentral.